Molecule: RNA transcript, 4558 nt
Organism: Empidonax traillii (willow flycatcher)
Lineage: Eukaryota; Metazoa; Chordata; Aves; Passeriformes; Tyrannidae
Gene: MAP3K20
Gene name: mitogen-activated protein kinase kinase kinase 20
Exons: 23
Source: RefSeq, a predicted model, not a curated record
AGCGCGGGGGACGGAGCGGGAGACGCGGUCGCGCCGAUUGCAGCUCCCUCGGCGGCUCCGGGAUCGGCGCCGCUCGGGUCCCGCCAGCCCAGAGCCCCUCGGGAAAGGUUUUGCUGUGGUAUAUUUUGUCAUUAUGAGAUGUCGUCUACCAGUGCUUCAUUUGUGCAAAUUAAAUUUGAUGACUUGCAGUUUUUUGAGAACUGCGGUGGAGGGAGUUUCGGGAGUGUCUACCGAGCCCGAUGGAUUUCUCAGGACAAGGAGGUGGCGGUAAAGAAGCUGCUCAAAAUAGAAAAAGAGGCAGAAAUACUCAGUGUGCUCAGUCACAAAAACAUCAUUCAGUUCUACGGAGCUGUCAUUGAACCUCCAAAUUAUGGCAUAGUCACAGAGUAUGCUUCUGCUGGCUCACUGUUUGAUUACAUUAAUAGUAACAAAAGUGAAGAGAUGGAUAUGGAUCAUAUCAUGACCUGGGCAACUGACAUAGCUAAAGGAAUGCACUAUUUACACAUGGAAGCUCCAGUCAAAGUUAUCCACAGGGACCUGAAGUCCAGGAAUGUUGUUAUAGCUGCUGAUGGUGUGUUAAAGAUCUGUGAUUUUGGUGCUUCAAGGUUCCACUCCCAUACGACACACAUGUCAUUAGUGGGCACUUUUCCAUGGAUGGCCCCAGAAGUUAUUCAAAGUCUUCCAGUGUCUGAAACAUGUGACACAUACUCGUACGGAGUGGUUCUCUGGGAGAUGCUAACAAGGGAGGUCCCCUUUAAAGGCUUGGAAGGAUUACAAGUAGCUUGGCUUGUAGUGGAAAAAAACGAGAGAUUAACCAUUCCAAGCAGUUGUCCCAGAAGUUUUGCAGAACUGAUGCAGCAAUGUUGGGAUGCUGAUUCAAAGAAAAGGCCAUCUUUCAAGCAGAUCAUUUCAAUCCUGGAAUCUAUGUCAAAUGACAGCAACCUUCCAGACCAGUGUAACUCAUUCCUGCAUAACAAGGCGGAGUGGAGAUGUGAAAUUGAGGCAACCUUAGAGAGACUAAAGAAACUGGAGCGUGAUCUGAGCUUUAAAGAGCAGGAACUAAAGGAACGGGAACGACGUUUGAGGAUGUGGGAGCAGAAGUUAACUGAACAAUCAAAUACUCCUUUGCUGCCCUCCUUUGAUAUUUGUGCAUGGACCGAAGAAGAUGUGUUUUUCUGGAUGCAACAACUUACUAGAAAAGGCGAUGCUUCUGGUGAAAUGAGUGUCUAUGCUAGCUUGUUUAAGGAACAUCAUAUCACUGGGAAACAACUGCUUCUUCUAGAAGAAGAGGAUUUAAAGGACAUGGGAAUUGUUUCCAGAGGACACAUCAUCCAUUUAAAGACUGCUAUCGAGAAGUUAACCCAUGACUACCUAAAUCUAUUUCAUUUUCCGCCAUUAAUUAAGGAUUCUGCAGGUGGAACUGAAGAAAACAUAGAGAAAGUAGUGAAUCUUGAACUUGUUUUUGGUUAUCACUUGAAACCGGGAAAUGGUCCAAAGGAUUGUAAAUGGAAAAUGUACAUGGAGAUGGACGGGGAUGAAAUUGCAAUAACCUACAUAAAAGAUGUGACAUUCAACACUAACCUACCUGAUGUAGAGAUUUUAAAGAUGACAAAGCCACCAUUUGUAAUGGAGAAAUGGAUUGUGGGGAUAGAAGAACACCAGUCUGUAGAAUGUGUUGUUACAUAUGAGAGUGAUGUUAGAGCUCCCAAAAGCACCAGGCACAUCCAAGCUAUCUGCUGGAGCAAGGUGAAAGCACAGGACGAGGUUGAGACAGUACAACUCAUGAUACAGACCUCGGUCGCCAACUCAGAGGGGAAUUCACGGAGCAGAUCUGACUCAGGCAUUGACAGUCAGUGGAUGCAGACACUGCGCAUGCAUCAGAUAGCAAAAGCCAUUUCUCACCAGCACGGCCACCCCCACAGCCCGACCACAGUCACCCACUACCUGCCUUACCUUCACAGCCAAGACUCCUACGCUGCAGCCGUCAGGAGGACACCCGCUCCCGUCAAUCACCAGUUCACAUCCAUCAGCCACUCCAGGAACUCUUCUCCCAUCUCACACAGUUUGAUGAGAAACCUCUCGAAUCUGCAUCUGAACUCAAAAGGCAGCAGUGCCUCCAGCACAGCCUCGGACACCCCUUCGGAGAGAGACAGGUCUGCUGGCAAAGGUAGAAACACCCCCCACAGCGGUAACUCCCGCAGCUCCUCGGGCGGGCGGCGCAGUGGGACCAGCUCCCCGGUGCCCCCCCGACAACUGGGAAGACCCAGCAGGACUUCUUUGCCAGUGGCCCCUCCGGCCUCCCAGCACCACAGGUACCUGCAUUUUCCUUUUCCAGGGUGUAAAAGGCUCUGAAUUAUAAGAAGCCAGCUCUGAGAUGGCUGCUGGAAUGGAUGAUGAAAAACAGCAGAGAGCUCAUGAAGGCAAAUUCAGAACUGGACGUCCAAAGUGACUUGGCAAGAUAUCCCAGAGCUGGGUCUGACCCUGGUGGAUUUUGGCUUCCUAAGCACACAAGUUUCCCCAGCAGCACUGGUGUUCUGUCACUACCAUCAGAAGGACUGGCUGUAAGAGGUCAGAGACAUGUGCUGUAAACCAGCUGCCAAUUCAAGUGCCUGUGAAACCCUGCUCCUAACCAUAGUGGGCAGCACGUGAAUUGGAGACUCCCUAGAGCAAAAACAUUGCCCAGCCCUGCAAACACAGGCUGCUUUUGUUCACAUACAGCCAGGGCACAAGGGGGCUGCCAACAUGCAGCUUGCUCGAGAGCCAAAGGUCUUUCUGAAAGGGGGAGAGCUGCUCAGAGGGCUUUUACAGCAGCUCAUCUGCCUGAGUUGGAGGAGCAAAUUCACAGAAGGAUGAUUGUCACAGGGGUGACAGCCCACUGAACUGUCGAGGAGGCCCCAAAAUCGUAAACAACUCCAGGCUGUUCCUCACCCUAACCCCUUGUGACGUGAGUAGACCGUCAAUCCAUCUCAGGGCAGUGGAGCUGCAGAGGUUGCUUUCUAUGGCCUGGGCAGGAAUUUCCCCCAGCUCAGUGUUUGAUUUGGGCAGCACUGUAAUCUCUUUCUCUUCCAACAUUUCUAGUUGUUGCUUUGGCCUCAUAUUGAUUUUGACAGACGUACCAAAAUGUAAUGCCUGCACUGCGCUUGUCAGGAAGAUAAAUAGAAUAAUGAUGAGAGAGGGGAGAUGAGGUGGCCAUCUGACCCCUUUUUGCUGGGGAAUGCUGCUGCCAGGGUUUCAGCCUGUCCAACUGAUGCCAUGGCUCACUGUGCCUCUGUGCUGGGGGAAAUCUGGUCAUACUGCCUGGGUGGGAUGGGAUGGGAUGGGAUGACUGUGGGACCUGCUCAUCCUGUGCUGAUAUUGCUGAGACCUGCCUUCAGCAGGGGAAAUGCCAGCAGCCCCUCGGUCUCCCCACCUACACCCAGAUCUCAGUGAUGCCAUGCCAGUGGACAAAACACUGCCAUGCUCCCAGGAAUGGUGGAUCUCAGGGCUGGGUUUCACAGGCAGUGUUGCUGCUGAUUGGUUUAUUUCCAUGAAAUGCUAGAGAAAGAAAAUCCAGUUCCUGUUCAGCUGGGAGGGGAGAGUGCCCGUUUGUGCCUCCCCCCAGUGCUGCCAUGGCUGAGUUAAUUCCCCAUGAGAAUCUGCUUUCUUGCUGGCACCGGUGUGAAAUGUGGAUGGGUGUUUUUGGACAUUGUUUACUUUUUAAAGAAAGUAUUUGCUACUGCAGCUUUGCUCUAUCUUACCUGCUCCUGAUGAUUAUUUUCUAGCAGUUGGCCUUGUCUGACAGCAUGCUGACCACAAUCUGCCAGCUUGCUGAGCUGAUUUAAGGAGCAGAGGUUUCUUAAACCCUCUGUCCUUCCCCACUUAGAGCAGAAGCCUCCAGGCAGGGCACCCCUUACCUCUGUCCUCCUCUCUAGCUCAGCUCAUGCUGCUGAGGAUCAAACUCCAUGUAUUUUAAGACUUUCUGAAACUUGCAAAUUUACUGCCAAGAAGACUAGAGUGUGCAUCAAGUAUACACAAUUAAUUUUUUUGAUUGUGCUAUAUAAUGCACUUUGACAUAAAAAUAAUAAUUAUUACUUUUGCCUGGGAAAGAUGGGCAGUGGCUUAUGUAACUGUGGAAAAACCCCGAACUAAGAGACCCCCUGACAUCUAAUGUCACUAAAAUGGAACCAAAUAGCUCUGCUACCUCUGAAAAUUAUAUCUGACAGAAUUAUUUUCUGUGUAUGUGUCCACCAUAGAAGGGUUUUUACAUAAUAUUCUUAUCUAAUGAAUUGCCAAAGUGUAGUAGUUCGAGCCAGUUUGUUGCAAAAAGUUAGAGGUUAGAGAGGAGAAGUCUAUUACAGCAAUAACACUAUUAAGGGUCUGCCAAGAUCACACUUGAGUACAUGUAAAUACAUGGCAUUUGAGAUUAAUGUCUCAGAGGACAGAGGAAUAGUGCUGGGAGGCAGUGACGGCUUGGGAAAAAUGAGAGCUGGGGCUAAAGCGCGCAGCCUUUCCCUGCAGCUCCCACUCCAGCACCACUAUGCUCUCCCCAGCCCACAGCAGCCCCCAGCAGCUGCAGCCC